AAUUAGCCCCGAUUGAAGUGAUACCAUGUUUAACGAAAAGCGGGAACUGCC
This 51-nucleotide small RNA is filed under the name Flavobacterium sp. 102. RNAcentral describes it as "Flavo-1 RNA". The record is from RNAcentral. Lineage: Bacteria; Pseudomonadati; Bacteroidota; Flavobacteriia; Flavobacteriales; Flavobacteriaceae.